Molecule: non-coding RNA, 21 nt
Organism: Caenorhabditis elegans
Lineage: Eukaryota; Metazoa; Nematoda; Chromadorea; Rhabditida; Rhabditidae
Source: Ensembl
UCAUUGUAACAGUGGCAUGAG